UGGGGAAUAUUGCACAAUGGGCGCAAGCCUGAUGCAGCCAUGCCGCGUGUGUGAAGAAGGCCUUCGGGUUGUAAAGCACUUUCAGCGGGGAGGAAGGCGUUAAGGUUGAUAACCUUGGCGAUUGACGUUACCCGCAGAAGAAGCACCGGCUAACUCCGUGCCAGCAGCCGCGGUAAUACGGAGGGUGCAAGCGUUAAUCGGAAUUACUGGGCGUAAAGCGCACGCAGGCGGUCUGUCAAGUCGGAUGUGAAAUCCCCGGGCUCAACCUGGGAACUGCAUUCGAAACUGGCAGGCUAGAGUCUUGUAGAGGGGGGUAGAAUUCCAGGUGUAGCGGUGAAAUGCGUAGAGAUCUGGAGGAAUACCGGUGGCGAAGGCGGCCCCCUGGACAAAGACUGACGCUCAGGUGCGAAAGCGUGGGGAGCAAACAGG
Molecule: ribosomal RNA, 429 nt
Filed under: Chloroflexota bacterium
Lineage: Bacteria; Bacillati; Chloroflexota
Description: Chloroflexi bacterium partial 16S ribosomal RNA
Rfam family: Bacterial small subunit ribosomal RNA
Source: RNAcentral